Molecule: transfer RNA, 68 nt
Filed under: Diodora graeca
Lineage: Eukaryota; Metazoa; Mollusca; Gastropoda; Lepetellida; Fissurellidae
Description: tRNA-Ile
Source: RNAcentral
GGUGUUGUGCCGGAAUGAAUCGGAUUGCGAUGAUGAUGCAAAAUAUAAGGGUAUUGCCUUCUUCGCCU